Molecule: ribosomal RNA, 990 nt
Filed under: uncultured bacterium
Lineage: Bacteria
Description: bacterial SSU rRNA
Rfam family: Bacterial small subunit ribosomal RNA
Source: RNAcentral
AGAGUUUGAUCCUGGCUCAGGACGAACGCUGGCGGCGUGCCUAAUACAUGCAAGUCGAGCGGACAUUUGGGAGCUUGCUCCCAAAUGUUAGCGGCGGACGGGCGAGUAACACGUGGGCAACCUACCUGUAAGACUGGGAUAACUUCGGGAAACCGGAGCUAAUACCGGAUAACUUCUUUCCUCGCAUGAGGAAAGGUUAAAAGACGGCUUACGCUGUCACUUAUAGAUGGGCCCGCGGCGCAUUAGCUAGUUGGUGAGGUAACGGCUCACCAAGGCGACGAUGCGUAGCCGACCUGAGAGGGUGAUCGGCCACACUGGGACUGAGACACGGCCCAGACUCCUACGGGAGGCAGCAGUAGGGAAUCUUCCGCAAUGGACGAAAGUCUGACGGAGCAACGCCGCGUGAGUGAUGAAGGUUCUCGGAUCGUAAAACUCUGUUGUCAGGGAAGAACAAGUGCCGGAGUAACUGUCGGCACCUUGACGGUACCUGAUUAGAAAGCUACGGCUAACUACGUGCCAGCAGCCGCGGUAAUACGUAGGUGGCAAGCGUUGUCCGGAAUUAUUGGGCGUAAAGCGCGCGCAGGCGGUCUCUUAAGUCUGAUGUGAAAGCCCACGGCUCAACCGUGGAGGGUCAUUGGAAACUGGGAGACUUGAGUGCAGAAGAGAAGAGCGGAAUUCCACGUGUAGCGGUGAAAUGCGUAGAGAUGUGGAGGAACACCAGUGGCGAAGGCGGCUCUUUGGUCUGUAGCUGACGCUGAGGCGCGAAAGCGUGGGGAGCGAACAGGAUUAGAUACCCUGGUAGUCCACGCCGUAAACGAUGAGUGCUAAGUGUUAGAGGGUUUCCGCCCUUUAGUGCUGCAGCUAACGCAUUAAGCACUCCGCCUGGGGAGUACGGCCGCAAGGCUGAAACUCAAAGGAGUUGACGGGGGCCCGCACAAGCGGUGGAGCAUGUGGUUUAAUUCGAAGCAACGCGAAGAACCUUACCAGGUC